Fukomys damarensis (Damara mole-rat) is the source of this 73-nucleotide small nucleolar RNA. The record is from Ensembl. Lineage: Eukaryota; Metazoa; Chordata; Mammalia; Rodentia; Bathyergidae.
UGUUCUGAUGAUAACUAGUAAUAGGAAGUGCCGUCAGAAGCGAUAACUGACGAUAUUUAUACAUAAUCUGACU